RNAcentral lists this ribosomal RNA (253 nucleotides) under uncultured bacterium. RNAcentral describes it as "partial 16S ribosomal RNA". It matches the Rfam family "Bacterial small subunit ribosomal RNA", at positions 524 to 776 of the family's 1533-position model. The record is from RNAcentral.
UACAGAGACCUCAAACGUUAUCCGGAUUCAUUGGGCGUAAAGCGUCCGCAGGUGGCAUGAAAAGUUGAUGGUUAAAUUCUGGGGCUUAACUUCAGAACUGCUGUCAAAACUUUCAAGCUCGAGGGUGGGAGAGGUACACGGAACUGCCGGUGUAGUCGUAAUAAGCGCUGAUAUCGGCAGGAACACCAAAGGCGAAGGCAGUGUACUGGAACACACCUGACACUCAUGGACGAAAGCGUGGGUAGCGAAUGGG